Molecule: long non-coding RNA, 587 nt
Filed under: Equus asinus (donkey)
Lineage: Eukaryota; Metazoa; Chordata; Mammalia; Perissodactyla; Equidae
Description: lncRNA (ENSEASG00005030301.1)
Source: RNAcentral
UUUUUUUUAGGAAGAUUAGCCCUGAGCUAACUGCUGCCAAUCCCCCUCUUUUUGCUGAGGAAGACUGGCCCUGAGCUAACAGCCGUGCCCAUCUGCCUCUACUUUAUAUGUGGGACUCCUACCACAGCAUGGCGUGCCAAGCGGUGCCAUGUUGGCACCCAGGAUCCGAACCGGCGAACCCUGGGCCACUGAAGCAGAAUGUGCGCACUCAACUGCUGCGCCACCGGGCCGGCCCUGGGAGCAUUCUUUAUGACUCGGCCACGAGACCAAACUGUGUGAACAAAUGGUGCUGAUGGUCCAGGGGCCGGGACGGAAUCCCCCCAGACAGCCUGGCCAAAGGGUGCAGUCUCCUACUUCCCAGGACUGCUUGAGGGAGACAGGACAAGCAUCCCCGUUAUACAGAAGAAGAAACUGAAGUCAAGGGAAGUCAGAGAAGCAGGGAGAGAAAGAAGUCGAUGCCAACAGGAGGCGGAGAGGACAGGCUGAGCGAGUGUCCCUCGAAGGACCAUGUGCCUGCCCUUCGUGCGUGGCUUCGUGACUCAGUUCUUCCUCUGAUUGUAGGAGAGUUCCUGAAUCCUUGAAUAAAC